Molecule: ribosomal RNA, 405 nt
Filed under: uncultured bacterium
Lineage: Bacteria
Description: bacterial SSU rRNA
Rfam family: Bacterial small subunit ribosomal RNA
Source: RNAcentral
CGGGGAAUCUUGCGCAAUGGGCGAAAGCCUGACGCAGUAACGCCGCGUGGGGGAUGAAUGCCUUCGGGUUGUAAACCCCUUUCAGCAGGGACGAAAUUGACGGUACCUGCAGAAGAAGCCCCGGCCAACUACGUGCCAGCAGCCGCGGUAAUACGUAGGGGGCGAGCGUUGUCCGGAUUUAUUGGGCGUAAAGAGCGCGUAGGUGGCUCGACAAGUCGGAUGUGAAAACUCCAGGCUCAACCUGGAGACGCCACUCGAUACUGUCGUGGCUAGAGUUCGGUAGGGGAUCACGGAAUUCCUGGUGUAGCGGUGAAAUGCGGAGAUAUCAGGAGGAACACCGAUGGCGAAGGCAGUGAUCUGGGCCGAUACUGACACUGAGGCGCGAAAGCGUGGGUAGCGAACAGG